AGAUCGUUUGGGGAUCUAUCCCAAUCUGAGGGAGGGAGGGUGUUUAUGUAGAUGUAGAUAUUGAUGACCGUUUUCUCCUGGUUAUCAAUUAAAAGAUUUUAUUCCA
Molecule: long non-coding RNA, 106 nt
Organism: Corapipo altera (White-ruffed manakin)
Lineage: Eukaryota; Metazoa; Chordata; Aves; Passeriformes; Pipridae
Exons: 2
Source: RefSeq, a predicted model, not a curated record